UACGGAGGGGGCUAGCGUUGUUCGGAAUUACUGGGCGUAAAGCGCACGUAGGCGGCUUUGCAAGUUAGAGGGGAAAGCCCGGGGCUCAACUCCGGAAUUGCCUUUAAAACUGCAUCGCUAGAAUUGUGGAGAGGCAAGUGGAAUUCCGAGUGUAGAGGUGAAAUUCGUAGAUAUUCGGAAGAACACCAGUGGCGAAGGCGACUUACUGGACACAUAUUGACGCUGAGGUGCGAAAGCGUGGGGAGCAAACAGG
RNAcentral lists this ribosomal RNA (253 nucleotides) under uncultured bacterium. Its description in RNAcentral is "partial 16S ribosomal RNA". It matches the Rfam family "Bacterial small subunit ribosomal RNA", at positions 524 to 776 of the family's 1533-position model. The record is from RNAcentral.